UGGCUCAGUGGUAGAGUGCUUGCCUCUCAUACAAGAGUCCCUGGGUUCGAUUCCCCAG
RNAcentral lists this transfer RNA (58 nucleotides) under Dipodomys ordii (Ord's kangaroo rat). It matches the Rfam family "tRNA", at positions 8 to 63 of the family's 71-position model. Rfam says of the family: Transfer RNA (tRNA) molecules are approximately 80 nucleotides in length. Their secondary structure includes four short double-helical elements and three loops (D, anti-codon, and T loops). Lineage: Eukaryota; Metazoa; Chordata; Mammalia; Rodentia; Heteromyidae. The record is from Rfam by way of RNAcentral.